Molecule: long non-coding RNA, 1097 nt
Organism: Pseudoliparis swirei
Lineage: Eukaryota; Metazoa; Chordata; Actinopteri; Perciformes; Liparidae
Exons: 2
Source: RefSeq, a predicted model, not a curated record
GCUUCUAUUUUUCCCUGACUACUGUGUUUUGUUGUUCUGUUCUAUUUUGUCUCUAUAUGUUGCCCAUUCUUGUCUGUUCUUUUGCUUUGCAUUUUCUGUCAGCGUCUUUGGGUCAUUGAAAAGCGCUUUACAAAUAUAAUGAAUUAUUAUUAUUAUUAUUAUAUAAUAAUGUAUGUGCUGUUGAUUUGGUAUUUAGUUGCAUAACUGUCUCCUUCGUGGACACUCUGUGACUGGGAUCGUUUAUGCACAAUUUAAUAUCUUGUGGACAUAUUGUUUGGGACUUCCUGGAGAUCCCUCCAGGCCCCCCCCCACCCCAGGGAUCCCCCUCAUGGACUCCCUGGACUAAUUGAGAACCGCCUUUCGCUUUUUUGUCUCCGGCUGAAUGUUUUGGGGUUUUUUUUCUUCUCCCAGCUGUCACCUUCGGCAUGCGUUGCCAUGGUUACCCGUGUCUCACCCUGGGUAGCUGCACCCUGGGUGAUCCCGAAAAGGUGCCUCGCUGAAUGGGACAUCAUCGAUUGAGUGGAGAUUGAGGCGAUGACACACACACACACACACAGUCACAGACUCGGAAAUGAGACUGGCUUUUUGGCGAGCGAGCGUGUGCACAGUCUGACUCGAUGAAAAGUUUCCUCUCUGAAGGGGAGGCAGCGGCGCGGAUUGAGCCGUCACUUGAAGAGAACUCUGCUCUUCAUCCCCGUGUGUGGAAAUGGACAGAUCCCUCUCUUUCUCGCUUUCAUGCUGUCAAAAGUAAACAUUUCCUUUGGGGUACUGCGAACUAAAGCCCUGAAGACAAGCGGCCGCAGGUGGAGAUACAUGUAGGCUACUGCAUUUAAAGAACACUAACCACACACACACACACACACACUUCCUGUCUAAAGCAUGUCUGUGUAUACAGUGCCAGAGUGAGGGAGUAACAUCACCACCGGGCUUCCGCCCACUCGCCCCCCAUGUUACUGUGUGAUCCAUCCUCACGCUCCUUUGGUCCUUUGCUUGCCGCCUGUUGGACUGUUUGUUGGUAAAUCUUUGACCGUUUCUUCGGCACAUGGACUCUAAUCGGACUCUCUUGCGCACACAACAAAAAAAACAUGAAAAAAAUA